This 253-nucleotide ribosomal RNA is filed under the name uncultured bacterium. RNAcentral's name for it is "partial 16S ribosomal RNA". It matches the Rfam family "Bacterial small subunit ribosomal RNA", at positions 524 to 776 of the family's 1533-position model. The record is from RNAcentral.
GACGAACCGUGCGAACGUUGUUCGGAAUCACUGGGCUUAAAGGGCGCGUAGGCGGGUUCCCAAGUCGGGGGUGAAAUCUUUCGGCCCAACCGGAAAAGGGCCUCCGAUACUGGGAACCUCGAGGGGGGUAGGGGUCGGCGGAACUUCCGGUGGAGCGGUGAAAUGCGUAGGUAUCGGAAGGAACGCCGGUGGCGAAAGCGGCCGACUGGACCUCACCUGACGCUGAGGCGCGAAAGCCAGGGGAGCGAACGGG